UGAACGCUAGCUACAGGCUUAACACAUGCAAGUCGCGGGGCAGCAUGAAUUUAGCUUGCUAAAUUUGAUGGCGACCGGCGCACGGGUGAGUAACGCGUAUCCAACCUGCCCAUGUCCACGGGAUAGCCCGUCGAAAGGCGGAUUAAUACCGUAUGAGGUCACAUGAUGGCAUCAGACUGUGACGAAAGGUUUGGCGGACAUGGAUGGGGAUGCGUCCGAUUAGCUAGUUGGCGGGGUAACGGCCCACCAAGGCGACGAUCGGUAGGGGUUCUGAGAGGAAGGUCCCCCACAUUGGAACUGAGACACGGUCCAAACUCCUACGGGAGGCAGCAGUGAGGAAUAUUGGUCAAUGGGCGUGAGCCUGAACCAGCCAAGUAGCGUGCAGGAUGACGGCCCUAUGGGUUGUAAACUGCUUUUAUGCGGGGAUAAAGUCGGCCACGUGUGGCUGUUUGCAGGUACCGCAUGAAUAAGGACCGGCUAAUUCCGUG
Molecule: ribosomal RNA, 488 nt
Filed under: uncultured bacterium
Lineage: Bacteria
Description: bacterial SSU rRNA
Rfam family: Bacterial small subunit ribosomal RNA
Source: RNAcentral